RNAcentral lists this transfer RNA (133 nucleotides) under Aspergillus eucalypticola CBS 122712. RNAcentral's name for it is "tRNA-Glu". The record is from RNAcentral. Lineage: Eukaryota; Fungi; Ascomycota; Eurotiomycetes; Eurotiales; Aspergillaceae.
GUCUCGGUGGCGCAAUUGGUAAGCAUGAUCCCAGACAAUUUUCACUCCAGUUAGUAGAUUACUAACACCUAGAAAAGGUUAGCGCGUACGACUGUUAAUCGUGAGGUUGAGAGUUCGAUCCUCUCCCGGGACG